Molecule: ribosomal RNA, 116 nt
Filed under: Gammaproteobacteria bacterium
Lineage: Bacteria; Pseudomonadati; Pseudomonadota; Gammaproteobacteria
Source: RNAcentral
CUUGGCGGCAAUAGCGAGUUGGACCCACCUGAUCCCAUCCCGAACUCAGAAGUGAAACGAUUUAGCGCCGAUGGUAGUGUGGGGUUUCCCCAUGUGAGAGUAGGACACCGCCAGGC